UGACUAUACCACAUUGAAACAGCAGUUCUCGUACGAUUGUCGAAGUUAAGCAGUGUCAAGCCUGGCCAGUAUUAAGAUGGGUGACCGCUUUGGACUACCAGGCGCAGUAA
Molecule: non-coding RNA, 110 nt
Organism: Acanthosepion pharaonis
Lineage: Eukaryota; Metazoa; Mollusca; Cephalopoda; Sepiida; Sepiidae
Source: the annotation of a GenBank genome assembly